Molecule: non-coding RNA, 23 nt
Filed under: Cricetulus griseus (Chinese hamster)
Lineage: Eukaryota; Metazoa; Chordata; Mammalia; Rodentia; Cricetidae
Source: RNAcentral
UUCAGUAACUAAUGGAUAGUUGA